UGUAUUCUCAGGUGGAAUGUGGAGCAGGUAAGGAAAGCAUCCUUCAGAACAUCGCUUUGGCUUGUGGUGAUGGAUUACUGAAUCUCUGUUUUGUAAUGGAAUUAAAAUCUUCCAAGGGAUCAGCUCAUUGACUGAUUUAAGAAUCGAUGAGACUUGGUUAUUUAUGGAGUGUGACUCUUCUACUUAUGAUCUUGAAUUGAUUACCCUUAUUAGCUGGAUCUCCUUUGAUCCAGUUUUUAAAAACACUGUCAAGAGAUUUGAAGAAAACUGUCCACCUCCUUGGAAUCCUACCUUGAAACAUUUCCCAGAUGAGAACUACAUUCCCAAGAUCCUUGUUAUUUUUUGUUUUGACGGCAAGCAGGAAUCAUUUCUGCAUAUCUAGAAAGUGAGCUGUGAAGAACAACAUGAGCUGUUUGAAUGACCUCAAAUUUCUGUGAUUUCUUUAUUUAAGUUGUUGCGAGGGUCACACAUUUACCCACAUUAUACUCAGAAGUGAAUUGAUAAUGUAUUGAAUUUUUAAGAGUGUCUCCGUUUAAAAAAAUGGAAAAAGAAAAAAAGAAAAUGUAUCGAAUUUUUAAUAAUUAAGCUAAUCUUUCUUAUAUAUUCCCA
This 609-nucleotide long non-coding RNA is filed under the name Homo sapiens (human). RNAcentral's name for it is "HSALNT0207985". Lineage: Eukaryota; Metazoa; Chordata; Mammalia; Primates; Hominidae. The record is from RNAcentral.